UACGUAGGGACCAAGCGUUGUUCGGAUUUACUGGGCGUAAAGGGCGCGUAGGCGGCAAUUCAAGUCAGCUGUGAAAUCUCCGGGCUUAACUCGGAACGGUCAGCUGAUACUGCUUUGCUAGAGUGCAGAAGGGGCAAUCGGAAUUCUUGGUGUAGCGGUGAAAUGCGUAGAUAUCGAGAGGAACACCUGCGGCGAAGGCGGGUUGCUGGGCUGACACUGACGCUGAUGCGCGAAAGCCAGGGGAGCGAACGGG
RNAcentral lists this ribosomal RNA (253 nucleotides) under uncultured bacterium. RNAcentral describes it as "partial 16S ribosomal RNA". It matches the Rfam family "Bacterial small subunit ribosomal RNA", at positions 524 to 776 of the family's 1533-position model. The record is from RNAcentral.